RNAcentral lists this long non-coding RNA (314 nucleotides) under Setaria viridis. RNAcentral describes it as "long non-coding RNA (SVIR_LNC008409)". The record is from RNAcentral. Lineage: Eukaryota; Viridiplantae; Streptophyta; Magnoliopsida; Poales; Poaceae.
GGAGUCGGGGGGUCGACGGGAACCUCCCAUAAAUUGCCGUCAGGGGGCGUUGGUUGGUCGAGCGGACCGAUCCGAACCCAACGCGAGCGCGCCGCGUGCAGCCGGGCAGCUGGAGCCCCCCGGCGCGCCCCUCACCUACAUGUGGGGGGAGCCUCUUCAAUGCCACGCAACGGGCGCCAUUGAAUACCAGCGCAAACCCCGUAGCGGGGGAGGCGCCAUUGCCGCUGCCGAUCGUCGCUCGUCGGUACGCUACCCGUACCAAAUGCGUCCAGUGCAGCUUCGCAGGCCCCGUCUGUCUUUGCCCGAACCGUGCA